This 470-nucleotide ribosomal RNA is filed under the name uncultured Smithella sp. RNAcentral's name for it is "bacterial SSU rRNA". It matches the Rfam family "Bacterial small subunit ribosomal RNA", at positions 915 to 1382 of the family's 1533-position model. The record is from RNAcentral. Lineage: Bacteria; Pseudomonadati; Thermodesulfobacteriota; Syntrophia; Syntrophales; Smithellaceae.
CGAGGGGCCCGCACAAGCGGUGGAGCAUGUGGUUUAAUUCGAUGCAACGCGAAGAACCUUACCUAGGCUUGACAUCCCAGGAAUUCUUAGGAAACUAAGAAGUGCCUUUCGGGGAACCUGGAGACAGGUGCUGCGUGGCUGUCGUCAGCUCGUGUCGUGAGAUGUUGGGUUAAGUCCCGCAACGAGCGCAACCCUUAUCUUUAAUUGCCAUCAUUAAGUUGGGCACUUUAGAGAGACUGCCGGUGUUAAACCGGAGGAAGGUGGGGAUGACGUCAAGUCCUCAUGGCCUUUAUGCUUAGGGCUACACACGUGCUACAAUGGGUAGUACAAAGAGAAGCCAACUCGCGAGAGUGCGCAAAUCUCAAAAAGCUAUCCUAAGUUCGGAUUGAAGUCUGCAACUCGACUUCAUGAAGCUGGAAUCGCUAGUAAUCGCGAAUCAGCAUGCCGCGGUGAAUACGUUCCCGGGCCUU